This 757-nucleotide ribosomal RNA is filed under the name uncultured Actinomycetes bacterium. RNAcentral describes it as "bacterial SSU rRNA". It matches the Rfam family "Bacterial small subunit ribosomal RNA", at positions 56 to 824 of the family's 1533-position model. The record is from RNAcentral. Lineage: Bacteria; Bacillati; Actinomycetota; Actinomycetes.
UGCAAGUCGAACGAUGAAGCUGGAGCUUGCUCCGGCCGAUUAGUGGCGAACGGGUGAGUAACACGUGAGCAAUCUGCCCUUGACUCUGGGAUAACUGCGGGAAACUGUAGCUAAUACCGGAUACUUUCCUCGCUGGGCAUCCAGCGGGGAAGAAAGAAUUUCGGUCAAGGAUGAGCUCGCGGCCUAUCAGCUAGUUGGUGAGGUAAAGGCUCACCAAGGCGACGACGGGUAGCCGGCCUGAGAGGGUGACCGGCCACACUGGAACUGAGACACGGUCCAGACUCCUACGGGAGGCAGCAGUGGGGAAUAUUGCACAAUGGGCGAAAGCCUGAUGCAGCAACGCCGCGUGAGGGAUGAAGGCCUUCGGGUUGUAAACCUCUUUUAGCAGGGAAGAAGCGAAAGUGACGGUACCUGCAGAAAAAGCACCGGCUAACUACGUGCCAGCAGCCGCGGUAAUACGUAGGGUGCAAGCGUUGUCCGGAAUUAUUGGGCGUAAAGAGCUCGUAGGCGGUUUGUCACGUCUGCUGUGAAAAUCCGAGGCUCAACCUCGGACUUGCAGUGGGUACGGGCAGGCUAGAGUGCGGUAGGGGAGAAGGGAAUUCCUGGUGUAGCGGUGGAAUGCGCAGAUAUCAGGAGGAACACCAAUGGCAAAGGCACUUCUCUGGGCCGUAACUGACGCUGAGGAGCGAAAGCGUGGGGAGCGAACAGGAUUAGAUACCCUGGUAGUCCACGCCGUAAACGGUGGGUGCUAGCUGUG